RNAcentral lists this ribosomal RNA (506 nucleotides) under uncultured bacterium. Its description in RNAcentral is "partial 16S ribosomal RNA". It matches the Rfam family "Bacterial small subunit ribosomal RNA", at positions 29 to 523 of the family's 1533-position model. The record is from RNAcentral.
AGUGAACGCUGGCGGUAGGCCUAACACAUGCAAGUCGAACGGUAGCACAGAGGAGCUUGCUCCUUGGGUGGCGAGUGGCGGACGGGUGAGGAAUACAUCGGAAUCUACUCUGUCGUGGGGGAUAACGUAGGGAAACUUACGCUAAUACCGCAUACGACCUACGGGUGAAAGCAGGGGAUCUUCGGACCUUGCGCGAUUGAAUGAGCCGAUGUCGGAUUGGCUAGUUGGCGGGGUAAGGGCCCACCAAGGCGACGAUCCGUAGCUGGUCUGAGAGGAUGAUCAGCCACACUGGAACUGAGACACGGUCCAGACUCCUACGGGAGGCAGCAGUGGGGAAUAUUGGACAAUGGGCGCAAGCCUGAUCCAGCCAUACCGCGUGGGUGAAGAAGGCCUUCGGGUUGUAAAGCCCUUUUGUUGGGAAAGAAAUCCGUCUGGUUAAUACCCGGGUGGGAUGACGGUACCCAAAGAAUAAGCACCGGCUAACUUCGUGCCAGCCGCCGCAGUAA